Molecule: ribosomal RNA, 651 nt
Filed under: uncultured bacterium
Lineage: Bacteria
Description: bacterial SSU rRNA
Rfam family: Bacterial small subunit ribosomal RNA
Source: RNAcentral
GAAGCUAACGCGUUAAACGUGCCGCCUGGGAAGUACGGCCGCAAGGUUAAAACUCAAAGAAAUUGACGGGGGCCUGCACAAGCGGUGGAGUAUGUGGCUUAAUUCGAUGCAACGCGAAGAACCUUACCUGGCCUUGACAUGCACAUAGUAGAAGCCUGAAAGGGUGACGAGGUAGCAAUACCAGUGUGCACAGGUGCUGCAUAGCUGUCGUCAGCUCGUGUCGUGAGAUGUUGGGUUAAGUCCCGCAACGAGCGCAACCCCUGUGUCCUGUUGCCACCCCUUAACUGGGAGCACUCUGGACAGACUGCCUCGCUUCAACGAGGAGGAAGGUGGGGAUGACGUCAAGUCAGUAUGGCCCUUACGGCCAGGGCUGCACACGUACUACAAUGCCCGGCACAAAGGGAAGCAAGACCGCAAGGUGGAGCAAAUCCCAGAAAACCGGGCCCAGUUCAGAUUGUCGUCUGCAACUCGACGACAUGAAGCUGGAAUCGCUAGUAAUGGCGCAUCAGCUACGGCGCCGUGAAUACGUUCCCAGGCCUUGUACACACCGCCCGUCACAUCAUGAAAGCCGCUUGUACCCGAAGUCGCCCCUUAAAAGGUGCCGAAGGUAUGGGUGGUGAUUGGGAUGAAGUCGUAAUCAAGGUAACCGUA